Molecule: ribosomal RNA, 1103 nt
Filed under: uncultured bacterium
Lineage: Bacteria
Description: bacterial SSU rRNA
Rfam family: Bacterial small subunit ribosomal RNA
Source: RNAcentral
AGAGCUGCCYCGCUSAGAAUCAACGCUGGCGGCGUGCCUCAGAAAARSGGRWRGRACGCGAAAGCUCCCUUCGGGGAGCAAGUAGAGUGGCGCACGGGUGAGUAACACGUAGGUAAUCUACCUUUGGAUGGGGAAUAACAACCGGAAACGGUUGCUAAUACCGCAUAAUGCAGCGGCACCUAAUGGUGACAGUUGUUAAAGCGGGGGAUCGCAAGACCUCGCGUCUGAAGAGGAGCCUGCGGCGGAUUAGCUAGUUGGUAAGGUAACGGCUUACCAAGGCGAUGAUCCGUAGCCGGCCUGAGAGGGCGGUCGGCCACACUGACACUGACAUACGGGUCAGACUCCUACGGGAGGCAGCAGUCGGGAAUUUUGGGCAAUGGGCGAAAGCCUGACCCAGCAACGCCGCGUGAAGGAUGAAAUCCCUCGGGAUGUAAACUUCGCAAGAACGGGAAGAAUAAGUAAGAGCUAACAUCUCUUACGAUGACGGUACUGUUUGUAAGCUCCGGCUAACUCCGUGCCAGCAGCCGCGGUAAUACGGGGGGAGCAAGCGUUGUUCGGAUUUACUGGGCGUAAAGGGCGCGUAGGCGGCCACCGCAAGUCGACUGUGAAAUCUCUGGGCUUAACCCAGAACGGUCAGCCGAUACUGCGGGGCUAGAGUGCGGAAGGGGCAACUGGAAUUCUCGGUGUAGCGGUGAAAUGCGUAGAUAUCGAGAGGAACACCUGCGGCGAAGGCGGGUUGCUGGGCCGACACUGACGCUGAGGCGCGAAAGCUAGGGGAGCGAACGGGAUUAGAUACCCCGGUAGUCCUAGCCUUAAACGAUGAAUGCUUGGUGUCUGGGGUUUUAUAGUCCCCGGGUGCCGUCGCUAACGCUUUAAGCAUUCCGCCUGGGGAGUACGGUCGCAAGACUGAAACUCAAAGGAAUUGACGGGGACCCGCACAAGCGGUGGAGCAUGUGGUUUAAUUCGACGCAACGCGAAGAACCUUUACCUGGGCUAGAAUGCCUCUGACCCGGCGUAGRAGAAUACGCCUUCCUUGGGUUAAAACCAGGCAGAGUGCAGGUGCUUGCAUGUCUGUCGUCAAGCUUCGRKKGUUYCGUGGAGCA